CAUUGUUACGCACAGACACGAAGCACUGUGUUAAUGGUUAAAUCGUGAUUGAACGGUUCCUGCCAAAGUGUCAGUAAUGAAAAAAAAAGAAAAAAAAGUCAACUUGGGAAAGCUCGGCAGCACCUUUAAAUUUAUUCGAGUAUAACUAAACCGACAGUAAAGUAAAACACAUGUGGCACAGAGUGAAUGUCUAAAAUGCGUAAAAAUUUUAAUUGAAUUGCACCUAAAAUUGAGUAGAAUGAAAGUGAAAGUAUUAACUCGAAAUCCUGACGAAUACCUCAGGGAGACUAAAAGAGAUAUUCAUAGAGUUCCCCGAAAUUAUGAUCCAUCGUUGCAUCCAUUUGAGGCAGCACGGGAGUACACUCGAGCCCUAAAUGCUGUAAAACUGGAUCGAGUGUUUGCCAAGCCCUUUAUUGGAAAUUUGGAAGGCCACAAAGAUGGAGUUUCUGCUAUUUGUAAACAUCCUGCCAAGCUUUCUGUCAUCGUUAGUGGAUCAUGUGACGGGGAAGUUAAAAUAUGGGAUUUGCCACAAAGAAUUUGUUAUCGCUCUAUUCUUGCACACGAUGGGAUCCUUCGAGCAAUUACAUUUAGCAAUGAUGCUGAGAAUUUCAUCACCGUCGGUGAUGACAAAAUGAUAAAAACGUGGAGAUUUCAUACGGAUGCAGAAAGUCAGGAGGAUUUGCCAAUAAACACAAUUAUUAGUAAGAACAUCAUCUCUUCCAUUUCGCAUCACCGUCGGAAACCUGAGUUCGUAACAUGUGGUGAGGUCUGCCAAUUGUGGGAAGAAACUCGAAAUGAACCUAUAAAAACUUUUAAGUGGGGAGUGGACAGCCUACACCACGUUGCAUACAACUUAGUUCAAUCGAAUUUACUCGCUGCAUGUGCAAGUGAUCGGAGUAUUAUUCUGUACGAUACGAGGGAUACGGGACCAUUACGCAAAGUUACCCUGAAGUUAAGAACAAAUAAAUUAGCGUGGAACCCAAUGGAAGCCUACACAUUCACCUCCGCUAAUGAAGAUUACAACCUCUACACGUUUGAUAUAAGGAAACUAAAGACUCCAGUUAAUGUUCAUAUGGACCAUGUGGGUGCAGUUACCGACGUUGAUUACUCUCCAACUGGAAAAGAAUUCGUCUCAGGAAGUUAUGACAAGUCAUUGAGAAUAUUUGAAGUUAAUAAAGGUCAUUCUCGAGAUAUAUAUCAUACAAAACGAAUGCAGAGACUCACUAACAUUGCUUGGUCUCUUGAUGACAAAUACAUUAUCAGUGGCAGUGACGAAAUGAAUAUUCGAGUGUGGAAGGCCCGAGCGUCAGAAAAAUUGGGAGUGUUAAAACCCAGGGAGAGAGCUGCUCUAAAUUAUAAUUCUACGUUGAAGGAAAAGUUCGCAGGACAUCCUCAAAUAAGGAGAAUUGCUCGACACAGACAAGUACCUAAACACAUCUACAACGCUCAAGAUGAAUUAAGAACAAUUCGUAAUAAGCGAAAAACAAAGGAGGCUAAACGUCGCGCGCAUUCUCGUCCUGGCAGUGUUCCAUACGUAUCGGAACGAAAAGCACAUGUUGUUGAAGAUAAAACAGAUUAAUAAGUACAAGGAAUAAACAAAUUUAUUCUCGUAUGAUAUGAAAUACAUUGACAUUAAAUUUACGCUGAAGGCUGACGGGUAAACCCUAAUAGAAAAAAACCCUUGUCUAGGUACAGUCGUAUCAUCUACGAGACUGGUACCGGCGUUCUUCGAGGCUUGUCAUCGUUAUCGAUUAUUCGCAAUGUAAUGAAUUAAAUCAUUUUAUUGAGACGAGUGGAUGUAAUAAAUAAUUUUAUUAUUGAAAUUUUA
This is an RNA transcript of Diachasmimorpha longicaudata, 1828 nucleotides long. It is a transcript of the gene named DDB1- and CUL4-associated factor 13, with no coding region annotated. The transcript has 8 exons. The record is from RefSeq and is a predicted model, not a curated record. NCBI's taxonomy places the organism in Eukaryota, Metazoa, Arthropoda, Insecta, Hymenoptera, Braconidae.